This 459-nucleotide ribosomal RNA is filed under the name uncultured bacterium. RNAcentral's name for it is "bacterial SSU rRNA". It matches the Rfam family "Bacterial small subunit ribosomal RNA", at positions 335 to 784 of the family's 1533-position model. The record is from RNAcentral.
ACUCCUACGGGAGGCAGCAGUAGGGAAUCUUCGGCAAUGGGGGCAACCCUGACCGAGCAACGCCGCGUGAGUGAAGAAGGUUUUCGGAUCGUAAAACUCUGUUGUUAGAGAAGAACGUUAAGUAGAGUGGAAAAUUACUUAAGUGACGGUAUCUAACCAGAAAGGGACGGCUAACUACGUGCCAGCAGCCGCGGUAAUACGUAGGUCCCAAGCGUUGUCCGGAUUUUAUUUGGGCGUAAAGCGAGCGCAGGUGGUUUCUUAAGUCUGAUGUAAAAGGCAGUGGCUCAACCAUUGUGUGCAUUGGAAACUGGGAGACUUGAGUGCAGGAGAGGAGAGUGGAAUUCCAUGUGUAGCGGUGAAAUGCGUAGAUAUAUGGAGGAACACCGGAGGCGAAAGCGGCUCUCUGGCCUGUAACUGACACUGAGGCUCGAAAGCGUGGGGAGCAAACAGGAUUAGAUA